UUAUAGUUCUCACUAUUGGGUAUUGUUUAUGUUGAUAUUUUUUCUUCACAGGAGGCUCACAACACAUCCGUUCAAAUGCUGGGAUUGUGACUGACUCAGGCAGGAAGAACAAGUCCUCGUGUCAGUGAGUGGAAGGAUGACACAUUUGCUGGAAAAUACAGUGUGUUGUCGUAUUCACACUAACACCACUGAGAAGUUGAUCCUGUUAUUACUCGCAGCAACAUUUCCUGGCUUAGACCUAGCAUACUGGGAAAGAGAUGUUUUAUGUGUUGCUGCUAAAGGAAAGUGGGAUAUAGAAGAAAACAAGAAGAAAAGAGAAGAAAGAAAAGGAAAGAAAAAUCACUGUGUCAUGAUUCCUGAAAGAUACUCGGUCUUGGUCUGUGUAAAUCUCCUGCUUUGUACCUGUCGCCUUCAUGAACCUAGAAGUGCUCUCCCUUUUACAGAUGGAGAAACUAAGGCUAAAGAAAAACAUGUUCGGAAUAAGCAAUAAUCAUAUUAGAUUUCAGUAUGAUCAACCGUUACCGUAAAAAUCUUAUAUCUUGCUCUAUUUUCAGUCACUGCGAAGGCUGGGAAAAUGACAAGUAUGGUUUUUUAAAGUGUAAUGAAAAUGUGCCUGAAAACAUGACAAAAUAUUGUUUAGGCAAGGCCCAAGGCCCAAGUUAGAGCACUUCUUUAAGGACACAGAGGGAAAAGAAAAAACGUCAACACCAACAAAACCUAUCAUUUGCUGAGCAAAAAUCUCCUUCCUACCCCCUGAAGUGCCUUAACACUCCACCUUCUGUUUCUAACAGCUAGAGCUGCUGCAGCUUCUGAAGAUUCAUUCUUGCAGUCCUAUGGGAAGUCACCAGUUUGUCCUUUCAACAGAGUUCCAAAAGUGGAAAAAGGAAGAGUUUAAGCAACUGUCAACCAGGAAACUUUUGUUUGUUUAUUUUAAAAAAGAAGACUUAUCAAGCUAGCCAAGAAAUUUUGUCAAAGUUACAGGCUGUCAUUCUUUAUAAUCGCUCUACUUUCUUUUUCUUUCUGAAUCCUGCAUUUUCAUGGAGGAUAGAUAAUCUUCGGCAUUAUCCUCAUUGGCUCGGCUUAGCUCUGUCCCUUGGGGUCCUGCUGACUCUAUAAACUUUCAACUCCUAAAUCCAGUGCUGGCUCACCCAGGAAAGAAAAAAGCAAACUGAACAAUAAAAUUCAAGCCGUAGCUUCCGUUGUGACUCAAGAAUAGAAAAUGUUGUUAAUGGCCAACAGCAUAUAAAGUGUCAUUAAUCACCAAUAAUUUAUUAUUUCCCAGUGGGGUCCCCAAACAAACACCAUCUUGCCCAACUCCCUUACUAUCCAGGAUUGGAAAAACUUUUCAAAGGUAAUAAUCUGAUUGAAUCUUCAUCUAAGAUUGAGCAGUUUGAAAAUUUUUCAUAAAAAUUAAAUAUACCAAAAAGGAGAAAGUAAGUUUCCUUCCUUUCUUUUCUUUCUUAAGCCCC
This 1469-nucleotide long non-coding RNA is filed under the name Rhinopithecus bieti (black snub-nosed monkey). RNAcentral describes it as "lncRNA (ENSRBIG00000045900.1)". Lineage: Eukaryota; Metazoa; Chordata; Mammalia; Primates; Cercopithecidae. The record is from RNAcentral.